GGGUGUGGUGGCUCAUGCCUGUAAUCCCAGCAGCUCGGGAGGCUGAGACAGGAGAAUCACAAGUUCAAAGGCAGCCUGAGCAAUGGUGAGGUGCUAAGCAAUUCAGUGAGACCCUGUCUCUA
Molecule: small RNA, 122 nt
Filed under: Marmota monax (woodchuck)
Lineage: Eukaryota; Metazoa; Chordata; Mammalia; Rodentia; Sciuridae
Source: RNAcentral